Molecule: non-coding RNA, 68 nt
Organism: Pangasius djambal
Lineage: Eukaryota; Metazoa; Chordata; Actinopteri; Siluriformes; Pangasiidae
Source: the annotation of a GenBank genome assembly
UCCCUGGUGGACUAGUGGUUAAGAGCGGUAAGAGCGCUGUGGCCUGGGUUUGAUUCCCAGUCAGGGAU